CUUGUCGGUUUCCACAGGUGGACCAAAGGCCACCAAUCCUACAUAGGCCUACGCCUAAACCUGUCUCAAUACGCAGCGUCUCUCGCUCGCAAAUGCAGACCCAAUCAUGAUCGGGCGAAAUUCUCACUUGGGAAUUCACACACACUCCAACCAAGGCUAACCACCCGACUCGCUCUUGAGUCAAUCGUCUGCGGAGUACCGCACUAGAACCAAGCUCGAGGCGAUGGACGUCUCACAUACACCUCAACCUUAAAUCCUCUCGACUAGGAUACCAAAUCCAUAACUCAUAAUGCAUACUUGUUGUACAUUCAUUUGGCUAUGACCCAAUCUUACCGGUUAACCAUGUUAACCCCAAUAACUCACAACCAAAUCCCUUAAUAACGGGGGACUCGAACCUCCCUAGGGACCGUCAACUGGUGGGACUUUACCACGCCCAGUGGUGACCAACUCCGGAGCGCACCGCCCGAGGGGGAGCUACCUCCCUCAAGCCAAGACGUAACGUGAGU
This 506-nucleotide long non-coding RNA is filed under the name Ananas comosus (pineapple). Its description in RNAcentral is "long non-coding RNA (ACOM_LNC040779)". The record is from RNAcentral. Lineage: Eukaryota; Viridiplantae; Streptophyta; Magnoliopsida; Poales; Bromeliaceae.